This 256-nucleotide ribosomal RNA is filed under the name uncultured bacterium. RNAcentral describes it as "partial 16S ribosomal RNA". It matches the Rfam family "Bacterial small subunit ribosomal RNA", at positions 524 to 776 of the family's 1533-position model. The record is from RNAcentral.
GACGUAGGUGGCGAACGUUAUCCGGAAUCAUUGGGCGUAGAGGGUGCGUAGAUGGCAUGAUAAGUUAUUAGUGGGAAAUCGAGGCUCAACCUCGUGGAAGCUAGUAAUACUGUUUUGCUUGAGUGCAGAAGAGGUUAACGGAACUCCAUGUGGAGCGGUAAAAUGCGUAGAUAUAUGGAAGAACACCAAUAACGGCGAAGGCAGUUAACUAUUCUGUUACUGACAUUGAGGCACGAAAGCGUGGGGAGCAAAACGG